This 253-nucleotide ribosomal RNA is filed under the name uncultured bacterium. RNAcentral's name for it is "partial 16S ribosomal RNA". It matches the Rfam family "Bacterial small subunit ribosomal RNA", at positions 524 to 776 of the family's 1533-position model. The record is from RNAcentral.
UACGUAGGGGGCAAGCGUUGUCCGGAAUUAUUGGGCGUAAAGGGCUCGUAGGCGGUUUGUCGCGUCGGGAGUGAAAACCUCGGGCUUAACUCGGGGCUUGCUUUCGAUACGGGCAGGCUUGAGUUCGGUAGGGGAGACUGGAAUUCCUGGUGUAGCGGUGAAAUGCGCAGAUAUCAGGAGGAACACCGGUGGCGAAGGCGGGUCUCUGGGCCGAUACUGACGCUGAGGAGCGAAAGCGUGGGGAGCGAACAGG